RNAcentral lists this ribosomal RNA (492 nucleotides) under uncultured bacterium. Its description in RNAcentral is "partial 16S ribosomal RNA". It matches the Rfam family "Bacterial small subunit ribosomal RNA", at positions 29 to 507 of the family's 1533-position model. The record is from RNAcentral.
AGUGAACGCUGGCGGUAGGCCUAACACAUGCAAGUCGAACGGCAGCACAGUAAGAGCUUGCUCUUACGGGUGGCGAGUGGCGGACGGGUGAGGAAUACAUCGGACUCUACUUUUUCGUGGGGGAUAACGUAGGGAAACUUACGCUAAUACCGCAUACGCCCUACGGUUGAAAGCUGGGGAUCUUCGGACCUUGCGCGAUUGAAUGCGCCGAUGUCGGAUUAGCUAGUUGGCGGGGUAAAGGCCCACCAAGGCGACGAUCCGUAGCUGGUCUGAGAGGAUGAUCAGCCACACUGGAACUGAGACACGGUCAAGACUCCUACGGGAGGCAGCAGUGGGGAAUAUUGGACAAUGGGCGCAAGCCUGAUCCAGCCAUACCGCGUGGGUGAAGAAGGCCUUCGGGUUGUAAAGCCCUUUUGUUGGGAAAGAAAAGCAGCAGGUUAAUACCCCGCGGUUCUGACGGUACCCAAAGAAUAAGCACCGGCUAACUUCGUG